UCAAUUUUUUUUCCGAUUUGAACCCUAGCAAUUUCAGUUUGGGAGGGAUGAAAUCAAAAGAAAAUCAUUUUGGGCAGGAUUAUUCCCGCUUGGUGUUUUAGAAUAGUUAUAAAUUCAACCCUAAAAUUAGUUCAGAGAUGUUAAGAGAUACAUCUUUUUUGGGGGAUAUCAGUUCUGAGAUCAAAAACAUCCAAGGAAAAGGAAAAUCCCACUGGUACGAUAUAUAGGCCAGAUGUGUUUCUGCAGACACAUAAAGUCACGCCAGAUGAUAAUCACUCAUCCUCUAAAUCACUGGCACCUGCAAAACUAGCAUUGGAGGCAUAUGAUAAAGAUCCUUCAGCACAAAAGUGUUUGGGAACCAACGAUGUUACCAAGAUAUUUGGCGCUGAUCGAAAGGGAUACAUACGCGCAAUUCUAAAUCUCAGUUUCUUGCUUCUGAGUUUAUGAAGGCUAAGUUGCAGGAAGAGAAGCAGAAAAACAAAGCUUUCAAAGCACAACUGGAUACUGAAAGACAGAAGAACACACUGGAGUACAUGAUCGGAUCUCUAAUAGCUCUUAUCAGCAGGACAUUGGGGUCCUAGCAGCACCUUCGUCGUUUGGUCUUCGUUGUUUGAGGAACUUGAGGGAAAAAGUCGGUUGCACUUGCAUGUGGUGAUACUAAGCUGCUGAUUAAUGACGAUCACGACUGCAUGCUUGUGGAAAUCAUUGAGCCAAGUGCAAUGUUGUGUGACGGAGAUGAUGAUGUACUCCAGGAUGUUCCCAUUGGUGAGUUUAUUAGGUGGUCAAAGGCCUACGUGACUCUGGUAGGAUAGCGAUCAAGUUAGGGCGGCAGUGACAGUAAAUUAUUUACUUUUUAAAUUUUCAAUAUGUAAG
Long non-coding RNA from Papaver somniferum (opium poppy), 873 nucleotides. RefSeq lists it as uncharacterized. NCBI's taxonomy places the organism in Eukaryota, Viridiplantae, Streptophyta, Magnoliopsida, Ranunculales, Papaveraceae. The record is from RefSeq and is a predicted model, not a curated record. The transcript is spliced from 5 exons.